AGAGUUUGAUCCUGGCUCAGAACGAACGUUAGCGGCGCGCCUAACACAUGCAAGUCGUGCGAGAAAGGGCUUCGGCCCCGGUAAAGCGGCGCACGGGUGAGUAACACGUAGAUAACCUACCCUCAGGUGGCGGAUAACCUUCCGAAAGGAGGGCUAAUACGGCAUAAGACCACGACCUCGCAAGAGGAUGGGGUAAAAGC
This 200-nucleotide ribosomal RNA is filed under the name uncultured bacterium. Its description in RNAcentral is "partial 16S ribosomal RNA". It matches the Rfam family "Bacterial small subunit ribosomal RNA", at positions 8 to 207 of the family's 1533-position model. The record is from RNAcentral.